This 404-nucleotide ribosomal RNA is filed under the name uncultured bacterium. RNAcentral describes it as "bacterial SSU rRNA". It matches the Rfam family "Bacterial small subunit ribosomal RNA", at positions 355 to 776 of the family's 1533-position model. The record is from RNAcentral.
UGGGGAAUAUUGCACAAUGGGGGAAACCCUGAUGCAGCGACGCCGCGUGAGUGAAGAAGUAUUUCGGUAUGUAAAGCUCUAUCAGCAGGGAAGAAGUUGACGGUACCUGAGUAAGAAGCCCCGGCUAACUACGUGCCAGCAGCCGCGGUAAUACGUAGGGGGCAAGCGUUAUCCGGAUUUACUGGGUGUAAAGGGAGCGUAGACGGCGAUGCAAGUCUGAAGUGAAAGCCCGGGGCUCAACCCCGGGACUGCUUUGGAAACUGUAUGGCUGGAGUGCUGGAGAGGCAAGUGGAAUUCCUAGUGUAGCGGUGAAAUGCGUAGAUAUUAGGAAGAACACCAGUGGCGAAGGCGGCUUGCUGGACAGUAACUGACGUUAAGGCUCGAAAGCGUGGGGAGCAACCAGG